This 1372-nucleotide ribosomal RNA is filed under the name uncultured organism. RNAcentral's name for it is "bacterial SSU rRNA". It matches the Rfam family "Bacterial small subunit ribosomal RNA". The record is from RNAcentral.
AAGUCGAACGAGAACCCUUGGAUUCGUCUGGGGGGGAGAGUGGCGAACUGGUGAGUAACACGUGGGUGACCUGCCCCGAGGACGGGGAUAACCGUUGGAAACGACGGCUAAUACCCGAUAUACUCGGUGAUUCGGUUCAUCGAGUAAAGGCUCCGGUGCUUCGGGAUGGGCCUGCGGCCUAUCAGCUAGUUGGUGGGGUAAUGGCCCACCAAGGCGAAGACGGGUAGGGGGCGUGAGAGCGCGGCCCCCCACACUGGCACUGAGAUACGGGCCAGACUUCUACGGAAGGCAGCAGUCGGGGAUAUUGCACAAUCGGCGAAAGCCGGAUGCAGCGACGCCGCGUGGGCGAUGAAGGCCUUCGGGUUGUAAAGCCCUUUUAUGGGGGAAGAGACAAGGACGGUACCCCAAGAAUAAGCGUCGGCUAACUACGUGCCAGCAGCCGCGGUAAAACGUAGGACGCAAGCGUUAUCCGGAUUUACUGGGCGUAAAGAGCGUUGAGGCGGUUCCGUAAGUUGGGCGUGAAAGCCCCGGGCUUAACCCGGGGAGGUCGUUCAAUACUGCGGGACUUGAGGGCAGCAGAGGGAGGCGGAAUUCCCGGUGUAGCGGUGAAAUGCGUAGAUAUCAAGAGGAACGCCAGAGGCGAAGGCGACUCGCUGGGCCUGACCUGACGCUGAGGUGCGAAAGCCAGGGGAGCGAACGGGAUUAGAUACCCCGGUAGUCCUGGCCCUAAACGAUGUCCACUAGGUCGGUGAGGUUCUAAUGCUUUGCUGGCCGAAACAAAAGCGUUAAGUGGACCGCCUGGGGAGUACGGUCGCAAGGCUAAAACUCAAAGGAAUUGACGGGGGCUCACACAAGCGGUGGAGCAUGUUGCUUAAUUCGAUGCAACGCGAAGAACCUUAUCCUGGGCUUGACGUACACGGAUGCCCUCCUGGAAACAGGUCGGGUUGCCCUUCGGGGUGAAACGUACACAGGUGCUGCAUGGCUGUCGUCAGCUCGUGCCGUGAGGUGUCGGGUUAAGUCCCGUAACGAACGCAACCCUUGCCCUUAGUUACAUGUGUCUAAGGGGACUGCCCGGGACAACUGGGAGGAAGGUGGGGAUGACGUCAAGUCAGCAUGGCCUUUAUGUCCAGGGCUACACACACGCUACAAUGGCCGGUACAAUGGGUCGCCAAGCCGUGAGGCGGAGCCAAUCCCCCAAAGCCGGUCUAAGUUCGGAUUGUGGGCUGCAACUCGCCCAUAUGAAGCUGGAGUUGCUAGUAACCGCGCGUCAGCAAUAGUGCGGUGAAUACGUUCCCGGGCCUUGUACACACCGCCCGUCACGUCAUGGAAGCUGGCAACACCUGAAGCCAGUGAGCUAACCCGCAAGGGGGGC